Zophobas morio is the source of this 300-nucleotide long non-coding RNA. RefSeq lists it as uncharacterized. The transcript is spliced from 2 exons. NCBI's taxonomy places the organism in Eukaryota, Metazoa, Arthropoda, Insecta, Coleoptera, Tenebrionidae. The record is from RefSeq and is a predicted model, not a curated record.
AACAAAACAGAAUGACCACUACAGUUUCCUCCCCUUGAAUUUGCAAGUAGACCCGUCCGAACGCUUUUACAUCCAAGGGUGAUGUUUCGUGUACAUACAACCCCUAAUUGAGACUGAGGAACAAUCUCACAAGGAAGCGUAGUUGGUUACGUUUAAUCAAAAUUGAAAUGUUCCGGAAACAGCGGAUCAUGUGGGAAGCUUCGGAUGUGGUUACACCGAUUGCACACAAUAGGAGGAUAAAUGUUGGACCUAAUAGUUGACAAUUUAUGGUCGAAAAACAGACUGACCGGUCAUAGUUAA